GUUGCUCCCUCUCCCCCAGCAUCCUCCUGGGACAUACAGCGAUGGCCCCCACACCUGGAAGGACUCAAGCUCUGAAUCCAGCACCUUCAGGAAGCAAGUGAUGGCAUCCCAGAGGCCCUAUGCUUGAGACAGACUGACGAAAACAGGUGGAUCUAGGUAAAAUCAGUCUCUGCUACCCUCCUCAUCUAAACCCUCAGUGCAGGGCCACCUUGGAAGCCAUGUGUUAACACUGAGUGAUCCUCCUCAGCCAAGUCCCUAAUGCAUGGAAAAGAACCUCCUGACCCAGUCCCCAAAGGCUGGACUUUUCCUUUGCAAGAAAUAAGGAGGUAUUGUAUUAAGCCACAGUGUUGUUCUAUUACAGAAGAUUAAGCAGUGCUUAAAUUAACAUAUACCUCCCCCAAAAAAAACAUGGUCAGGAGUCAGGUAACUCUUAUAAAGUAAUUAGCACCUAGUGUCACGGAAUGUGGAUUUCUGUCAAUGUGAGGCCAUGGGACCCUGGAACAAUGCUGCCACUUCCUAUGAAUCUAUUUCUUAAAUUGCAGGGUAAAGUUCACCAUAAAUAACAAAGUCAUGGAGUCAAGCUGUCACAAUUGGCCACCGUUCCUAA
This 607-nucleotide long non-coding RNA is filed under the name Homo sapiens (human). Its description in RNAcentral is "long intergenic non-protein coding RNA 3093". The record is from RNAcentral. Lineage: Eukaryota; Metazoa; Chordata; Mammalia; Primates; Hominidae.